RNAcentral lists this ribosomal RNA (270 nucleotides) under uncultured archaeon. RNAcentral's name for it is "partial 16S ribosomal RNA". It matches the Rfam family "Archaeal small subunit ribosomal RNA", at positions 477 to 747 of the family's 1478-position model. The record is from RNAcentral.
CAGCACCUCAAGUGGUCAGGAUGAUUAUUGGGCCUAAAGCAUCCGUAGCCGGCGCUGUAAGUUUUCGGUUAAAUCUGUACGCUUAACGUACAGGCUGCCGGGAAUACUGCAGAGCUAGGGAGUGGGAGAGGUAGACGGUACUCGGGAGGAAGUGGUAAAAUGCUUUGAUCUCUCGAUGACCACCUGUGGCGAAGGCGGUCUACCAGAACACGUCCGACGGUGAGGGAUGAAAGCUGGGGGAGCAAACCGGAUUAGAUACCCGAGUAGUCC